RNAcentral lists this ribosomal RNA (88 nucleotides) under Planctomycetaceae bacterium. RNAcentral describes it as "partial 16S ribosomal RNA". It matches the Rfam family "Bacterial small subunit ribosomal RNA", at positions 1452 to 1533 of the family's 1533-position model. The record is from RNAcentral. Lineage: Bacteria; Pseudomonadati; Planctomycetota; Planctomycetia; Planctomycetales; Planctomycetaceae.
GCCGCCCACGGUAAGAUUGAUGACUGGGGUGAAGUCGUAACAAGGUAGCCGUAGGUGAACCUGCGGCUGGAUCACCUCCUUUCUAAGG